UACGGGAGGGGCUAGCGUUUUUCGGAAUUACUGGGCGUAAAGAGCGCGUAGGCGGCUUACCAAGUUGGGGGUGAAAUCCCGGAGCUCAACUCCGGGACUGCCUUCAAAACUGGUAGGCUCGAGUCCGGAAGAGGGGCGUGGAAUUCCCAGUGUAGAGGUGAAAUUCGUAGAUAUUGGGAAGAACACCGGUGGCGAAGGCGGCGCCCUGGUCCGGUACUGACGCUGAGGCGCGAAAGCGUGGGGAGCAAACAGG
RNAcentral lists this ribosomal RNA (253 nucleotides) under uncultured bacterium. RNAcentral's name for it is "partial 16S ribosomal RNA". It matches the Rfam family "Bacterial small subunit ribosomal RNA", at positions 524 to 776 of the family's 1533-position model. The record is from RNAcentral.